CCUUGUUUGGGACCGAUUUGGGGUUAUUCCGGACUCUUUUGGGGUUAUUUAGCCCUGUUCAGGACUCUUUUGGGGUUAUUCGGGACUCUUUUGGGGUUAUUCAGUGCCAGUCCCGUUUGUUUUCCAGCUGCACCGAGCCGUGACCCCAGCCUGGGGCACCGGCCACGCGGCAGCCCCAAAAAAAGGGCAAAAAAAGGCAAUUUCCACAGCUCUGCCUGCCCCGAUUUUGGGGUGAUCCCCCCGAGAAGGGGCCGUGGCCGUGGCCGUCCGCCCGCUGCCGCCUCCUUUGGGUUUUUUCCCCCGUUCCCAUGGCCCCAAAGCCGCCUCCUCGGCCCCAUAAAUCACAGCGGGGCGGCCGCGGGGGCCAGCGCCGUGGCGCCAGCUCGGGGCCCCCCCCCGCCACCUUUCUCCAUCCGAUUUUUUUUUUUGGGUUUCCCAAGGAUUCUUGGGGCUUUUAAGCAAAACUCCUCGGUCCUAAAAAGGAACCCGGCUCCCGUUCUGCCUCGUGGACGUUUUGGGGUUAAAAACUGCCUUUUGGGGAGGGGGCUGCGGCCAGGCACCACGUCCCUCGGCCCCCAGAGCGGGGAAAUCGAAACGAAUAAAAUCCCUUUUCUGCCCCGGAAUGGGAAAGAUGGAGAAGCCAGCGCCUCUCUUUUUGCCUCAAACCACCCUUUUUUGCCUCAAAGCGGCCCUUUUUGCCUCAAACCACCUCUUUUUGAACCAAAGCGGCUCUUUUCUUUUGUUCCUCCAGGAGAGGACUCCGACACGCGGCUUUCCCGGGAACUGCCGCCCCUGCGAGGGACAGAGCACCCAAAACCGUCCCGUUUACGCCCAAAACCGUCCCGUUUACACCCCAAAUCAUCUCAUUUACACCCAAAACCGUCCCGUUUACACCCAAAACCGCCGCCGCCAGCUCGCCCCGUGGCGGGGGGGCGGCGCCGGGGUCGCUUUUCGGCACGGGGCAGGAAAUUCCUCGGCCACCCCAUUCCUGGCUCGGAAUUUCCUGGCUCCGAGGGUUUUUUUGUUAUUUUUGGGGCUGUUUUCUUUUUUUUUUUAAAAAAAAAAGAAGCUGAAAAAAAAAAAAAAACAAGGUUAAAAAAAUCCCUCUUGGCCCCGUGCCCGGCGUGGGAUGCCGGCACGCGGCUUUGCCAUAAAACCCCGUUUUUUGCCCCAAGCAGGCACCUGGCCCGCGGCGGGGUUUGA
RNAcentral lists this long non-coding RNA (1203 nucleotides) under Anas platyrhynchos platyrhynchos (common mallard). Its description in RNAcentral is "lncRNA (ENSAPLG00000018706.1)". The record is from RNAcentral. Lineage: Eukaryota; Metazoa; Chordata; Aves; Anseriformes; Anatidae.